This 148-nucleotide ribosomal RNA is filed under the name uncultured bacterium. RNAcentral's name for it is "partial 16S ribosomal RNA". It matches the Rfam family "Bacterial small subunit ribosomal RNA", at positions 338 to 483 of the family's 1533-position model. The record is from RNAcentral.
CCUACGGGAGGCAGCAGUAAGGAAUAUUGGACAAUGGAGGCAACUCUGAUCCAGCCAUCCCGCGUGCAGGAUGACGGCCCUAUGGGUUGUAAACUGCUUUUGCGAGGGAAGAAACGGUGCUAUUUAUAGCAUUUUGACGGUACCUCGA